UGAAAAUGUAAACUAAUUGUCACGACCCAAUUCAGGAUCAUGACCGGCACUUAGGAGCAAGUGCUCCCAAGUAAGACUCAUCGGUAUUUUACAGAAAAUCAGAUAGAGUUUUCCUAUUUUUAGACUAUCCCAAAAAAAUUUCCUUUCUCAAAUUAGUAACCAAGGAUUCCUAAUAGCAAUCCAAAUAAUAUACAACUUAUCAAUUAAUCAAAAUAGUCUUCACCAUUACUAAUUAACCCACUAACAACCAGAAAUACUAAUUUAUCUCCGAUUCUGAUAAUAAAGAACGAUACUCGAUAUAAGACUAAUUACAAAAUAAUACUCAUGAUACUAAAAGAAUGACUAUGGAGCGACUCUAAGAAUUCAAAGAAAAUACCAUAACAAUUGAUAAAAAUCUCCGCCCACGCAAACAAGUGCGAGGCUCACCAAAAAUUCUCAACCUAUGUGCUCUAAUUAACGAAAUCCCCGCCUGCGUCAACUGUUGUCUCUGUAAAAAAUUAGCGGGAAAUGAGUCGCUAGCUCAGUGAGUAAUAACACUUAACCACAACGGUUAUUAAUUUGGGGACAAAUAAAAGAACAUGCUAGUAUAUUAAACAUAAAACAACAUAAAAAUGCCAUUUCAGAAACAAUAAAUAAUUUUCAGUCUCGUCAUGUUUUUCUUGUAGUAUAAUACAAUUAACAGUUCGGUACUAAGUCCGGUAAUCACUGUCUAAUAUUAGUGUUCACAUUUGGGAGGUUUCAAUGAACGGAUCAAGUAAUCGGUAUAACUAUGGACUUUUUCGCAAGAAGUCAAAUAUAACGUUAGUCCCUACUCGAAGGAAAUCGGUAACAGUAUACCAGUUCUAUCUUCCCACUAAAUCAGAAACUCUUAUAGGUAUACUUCCUUAUUUCCGAACGUCUGAGUCUGUGUAAGUGCUUGUGUAGUAAAGUAGUCUGAGGAGGAUCUGCAUGUCUCGGGAUUUAAAGCCUACGCUCUGAUACCAACUUUCUCACUAGCGAGGGUUAUAACGGUAAUAUGUAAUUACAAGGUGCAUCAGGUCUAACGAAUCCGCCGUUAGCUACGGGAUCCUUCAAUCUCUACUCCCAUUUAUACUUGUCUUUUUAAUCCGUAUACACUCAUAUAAAAUAUUUUAAAAUAAUAUAGGGCAUUUCGGUUCUUAUAAAAUCAUAUAAUUUUUUUUUAUAACAGUAAAUUCAAGUAACGUAAAACAACGGUAAUCUUCUCAAAUAACUAUUUCGGUAUCAUAUCGAGUAAAAGACUUGUCCCACAUACAACUUAAAAUAAUCGGUAACAUAUUUCUAUUAAAAAUUAUGUGUAAAUCAUGCAAGUUAUGAAAACACAAAUUACGGUAAGACUACUACUCACAGUGCUAGUGCCGAAAUACCAAAUGCUUCACCUCGAGCAAUUCGUACAAAUUUCUCCAAUCAAUAUAUAAUUACAUAAUAUCAAUCUCCUGUUAAUUUCCUUGUUUAGGCUAAUUCAUAGCUAAUUUAGAAUACCCGACCCUCGAGGUUUCAUAUUUGACUCUUAAUUCAUCAAAUAAUAUUUACCCACUAUGAGUAAUUACUAAUCUAUCAACUCCAACAUAUUCAUAUAUUUUAUUAAUCCAAUUUCAUAAAGUUCUAUUGAUUCUUUAGGAAGAAAAUUCUCAAGUAUGAAUGAACUAGUGUAAUUUCUAUUUCUCUGUGGAAUCUUCCAAUCAUGAGAAUCGAAAUUAAAAUCUACCAAAAAGAGAAGCUCAAGCUAUACCCGUAAGACAUAAUUCAUGAUAAAGAUUCCUCAACAGAUUGCCAAAAAUUAACAAAAAUUUAUGCAUAUCUUUUCUUGUUUCACUGACUUUUGCCAAUCUCUUUAUUUAACUCUAACCAUUAAAAUAUAUUCUCAAAUUUGUGAAAUAAGUACCUGAAAAUUUGAACAAAUAAUGGAUGAAAGCGGCUUCUUUUGCGGUACCAAGAUAUUUCCCCAGCUCACCUUCUGCAUUUGUUUUUGAUUUUCGUUUUUAAUCUGACUCGUCAAAAUCCUUUUUGCUUCUGCUUGGUUUUACGCAGCAGAAUUUGAUUUUGUUGCCAAAGAAAGGGGCUUCGGCCCUUUUUUCCUUUUUUGUUUCUG
This 2110-nucleotide long non-coding RNA is filed under the name Nicotiana benthamiana. RNAcentral's name for it is "long non-coding RNA (NBEN_LNC031070)". The record is from RNAcentral. Lineage: Eukaryota; Viridiplantae; Streptophyta; Magnoliopsida; Solanales; Solanaceae.